AACAUUCUGCAAAUUGAAGAAUGUUUUAAAUUAAACAUACGCGAAAUCGUAUCUGAAUAUUCGCCAAAUCGUAAUUAAUUCUACAGUUUAUGAUCGUGACGAAAUAUAUUGUUUGGUUAAUCUGACCGAAUCGACAAUGUGUUGACAUAAAAUGUAAAAAGUACUGAAAAUUCAGAAACAAAAUUUUGCAACACAAAAAUAUUGUUGCUAUGUGAAAUUAGCAGCUGAAGAUCUUCGCUCAACGCUCCUAAGAAGAGGCCACUUAAAACGAGUUACUUGAAACUCCGCAUGUCACCUUGCGAAAGCUGUAUUUGCAUGUACGACGCAAUCUAUUAGACAACUGACAAACAUGAUGACACGAAAUAUGACAUCUUUAGAUUUAAUAAUUCUUUAAAUACACCGAAACCGGAUGAAAUCAGUUUAUCUACGCUUUUUUCGGAUUUCACGUAUCUCAAUUUGUCUUACUUAUUCGUAUAAUUUCACGUUAUGGAAAACUAGAAAAGAGCGAGACGAAAAAUAUGUAUCCAUCUCUAUCAGACCACGUGCUUGGAGAGAAGCUAUAUUAGUCGGUCAUCAGGCGGUCCGUUGAAAUUUUCAUGAAGAAGCCCAUUGUAUCUCUACAUGCUACUGAUUUAUACAAAACGAUUACUGCCCACGACUAACUCCGACUCGAUUUUGGACGUGGCGAUUAGAUUGUUUAACAGUUCCGUUCCUAUGCAAUCAUUUCCGCGAAGAACGGGCAAAGACGUAUUAAAAAAAAAACACGGCCAUUACGUAUAGUGUCAUCCUGCAAAUGUGAAACAUCGACAAAAUGAUGUUUAUUGAAAUUUAUUUUAUAAUCAAAGAAACGGAUAAAUAUAGAAUAAAAUAAAUAAAAACAGA
This is a long non-coding RNA of Nymphalis io (European peacock), 882 nucleotides long. RefSeq lists it as uncharacterized. NCBI's taxonomy places the organism in Eukaryota, Metazoa, Arthropoda, Insecta, Lepidoptera, Nymphalidae. The transcript has 2 exons. The record is from RefSeq and is a predicted model, not a curated record.